UAUCCAUAGCAGUGACCAGAGGAAGAAUGGCUUGCUGGGAGGAGCACAGAGAGAAGAAAUGCCAGGGUGCAUCUGCAGCAGCACAACUAGAUGGCUUCAUCUGCCCCAGAUGCAACAAAACAUGUCUCUCCCACAUUGGUCCCUACAGCAACAGCAGGAGCUGCAACCAUCCAAAGGUAGGGAGAGGUUAGUGACAGAUGAAAGAGGCCCUGACAAUCAAAAAACAGGAGAGAAAUACAGAUGGCUCAACUCCUUUCAGGAUAACCAACCAUUUGCAUUAGAAAUACAGCAAAAUGUGGUUCCCAUCAAAGGAAUGGACACAGGAUACCAGCCAAAACUAUUAUUUCCACUUCCACAGGAAUAGUUGCCAAAAUUCGUCCCCUGGAGGUGCCACGAAUUGAACCUGGCGUUUUGCUCC
Long non-coding RNA from Podarcis raffonei (Aeolian wall lizard), 418 nucleotides. RefSeq lists it as uncharacterized. The record is from RefSeq and is a predicted model, not a curated record. NCBI's taxonomy places the organism in Eukaryota, Metazoa, Chordata, Lepidosauria, Squamata, Lacertidae. The transcript is spliced from 3 exons.